This 930-nucleotide ribosomal RNA is filed under the name uncultured marine group I thaumarchaeote. RNAcentral's name for it is "bacterial SSU rRNA". It matches the Rfam family "Archaeal small subunit ribosomal RNA", at positions 468 to 1398 of the family's 1478-position model. The record is from RNAcentral. Lineage: Archaea; Thermoproteati; Nitrososphaerota.
CGGUAAAACCAACCACCUCAAGUGGUCAGGAGGAUUAUUGGGCCUAAAGCAUCCGUAGCCGGCUCUGUAAGUUUUCGGUUAAAUCCAUGUGCUCAACGCAUGGGCUGCCGAAAAUACUGCAUAGCUAGGGAGUGGGAGAGGUAGACGGUACUCGGUAGGAAGGGGUAAAAUCCUUUGAUCUAUCGAUGACCACCUGUGGCGAAGGCGGUCUACCAGAACACGUUCGACGGUGAGGGAUGAAAGCUGGGGGAGCAAACCGGAUUAGAUACCCGGGUAGUCCCAGCUGUAAACGAUGCAGACUCGAUGAUGCAUUGGCAUAUAGCCAGUGCAGUGUCGCAGGGAAGCCGUUAAGUCUGCCGCCUGGGAAGUACGUACGCAAGUAUGAAACUUAAAGGAAUUGGCGGGGGAGCACCACAAGGGGUGAAGCCUGCGGUUCAAUUGGAGUCAACGCCAGAAAUCUUACCCGGAGAGACAGCAGAAUGAAGGUCAAGCUGAAGACUUUACCAGACAAGCUGAGAGGUGGUGCAUGGCCGUCGCCAGCUCGUGCCGUGAGAUGUCCUGUUAAGUCAGGUAACGAGCGAGAUCCUCGCCACUAGUUGCUAUCAUUAUUCUCAGGAAUAAUGGGGCGAAUUAGUGGGACUGCCGUUGUUAAAACGGAGGAAGGAGGGGGCUACGGCAGGUCAGUAUGCCCCGAAACUCUGGGGCCACACGCGGGCUGCAAUGGUAGCGACAAUGAGCUCCAAACUCGAAAGAGAGUGGCAAUCUCUAAACGCUACCACAGUUAUGACUGAGGGCUGUAACUCGCCCUCACGAAUAUGGAAUCCCUAGUAACCGCGUGUCAUUACCGCGCGGUGAAUACGUCCCUGCUCCUUGCACACACCGCCCGUCGUUUCAUCGAAGUUUGCUUUUAGCGAGGUGAUGUUUAAUGAC